UAUUACCGCGGCUGCUGGCACGUAGUUAGCCGAGACUUAUUCCUGGGGUACCGUCCUUUCUCUUCCCCCAGAAAAGCCCUUUACGACCCGAAGGCCUUCAUCGGGCACGCGGCGUUGCUGCAUCAGGCUUGCGCCCAUUGUGCAAUAUUCCUUACUGCUGCCUCCCGUAGGAAUCUC
RNAcentral lists this ribosomal RNA (177 nucleotides) under uncultured bacterium. RNAcentral's name for it is "partial 16S ribosomal RNA". The record is from RNAcentral.